Molecule: ribosomal RNA, 389 nt
Filed under: uncultured bacterium
Lineage: Bacteria
Description: partial 16S ribosomal RNA
Rfam family: Bacterial small subunit ribosomal RNA
Source: RNAcentral
UGGAUACUGGGRUUAGGGUUCGUAGGCUGGUGCUGUACGUCGUCWCAGUGAAAUCCCAUCGGCUCAACCUGGUGGAACUGCGUCBGUGAAACCACWGCGUCUUGAGNCUUGCAUAGGCGAUCABAACUUAUUGGUGGAKYGGUGAAAUGCSUAAAUAUCUAUCGGAAUGCCGAAGGUGAAGACAGGUCGCUGGGCUCGUCCUGACGCUGAGGGACGAAAGCGUGGGGAGCAAACGGGAUUAGAUACCCCGGUAGUCCACGCCGUAAACAAUGCGCACUGGGUCGGAGGGGUUUGACGCCUUUCUGGCCGAAGCAAAAGUGUUAAGUGCGCCGCCUGGGGAGUACGGUCGCAAGGCUAAAACUCAAAGGAAUUGGCGGGGGAGCACAAAA